This 301-nucleotide ribosomal RNA is filed under the name uncultured bacterium. Its description in RNAcentral is "partial 16S ribosomal RNA". It matches the Rfam family "Bacterial small subunit ribosomal RNA", at positions 509 to 807 of the family's 1533-position model. The record is from RNAcentral.
CAGCCGCCACGGUAAUACGUAGGUGGCAAGCGUUGUCCGGAAUUAUUGGGCGUAAAGGGCUCGCAGGCGGUUUCUUAAGUCUGAUGUGAAAGCCCCCGGCUCAACCGGGGAGGGUCAUUGGAAACUGGGAAACUUGAGUGCAGAAGAGGAGAGUGGAAUUCCACGUGUAGCGGUGAAAUGCGUAGAGAUGUGGAGGAACACCAGUGGCGAAGGCGACUCUCUGGUCUGUAACUGACGCUGAGGAGCGAAAGCGUGGGGAGCGCACAGGAUUAGAUACCCGCGUAGUCCCUGUCUCUUAUAC